CUUUGAAAACCUUCAGAAACACAUCAGGGAUUCCUGAGCUUCUUGCUCCUGCCAGGCAGCAUUUGCGGUGACAACUAGUGCUGAGAGCCCAGCAGCCCACACACAACUCCUUGGGAAAGGAGAGAGCUGAAGUUUCAAGGCAAUGGAGAAACACAUGGAUCUACAUGGAUCUUUCUGGAGGAUGGCAAUGAGAGUCCUAUGGUAUAGCACAUCUUUCUUUUCUGGACCCCACUGGCUUCCAGCUGGGCUUUAGAUGUUCAGGAGGAGGGAAAUGGAGAAGAUUCUUCUAGGUCAAAGAGCAGGUGAGUACAGAGAUGACACUUCCAGGCAAUGAUCCUAACUCUCUAUCCAGUACUACCCCAAAGCUGAGACAUUGUCCCUCUUAAGCCUGCUAAUUGUUUUUGCUUUUUAUUUUUUAAAUAAAAAUCUUAUGACAGCCUUAAAUUCAAAUUUAAAAAGAGAAAGAAAAAAACCCACUGU
Molecule: long non-coding RNA, 480 nt
Organism: Canis lupus familiaris (dog)
Lineage: Eukaryota; Metazoa; Chordata; Mammalia; Carnivora; Canidae
Exons: 3
Source: RefSeq, a predicted model, not a curated record